AGUGAACGCUGGCGGUAGGCCUAACACAUGCAAGUCGAACGGCAGCACAGUAAGAGCUUGCUCUUACGGGUGGCGAGUGGCGGACGGGUGAGGAAUACAUCGGAAUCUACUUUUUCGUGGGGGAUAACGUAGGGAAACUUACGCUAAUACCGCAUACGGCCUACGGGUGAAAGCAGGGGAUCUUCGGACCUUGCGCGGUUGAAUGAGCCGAUGUCGGAUUAGCUAGUUGGCGGGGUAAAGGCCCACCAAGGCGACGAUCCGUAGCUGGUCUGAGAGGAUGAUCAGCCACACUGGAACUGAGACACGGUCCAGACUCCUACGGGAGGCAGCAGUGGGGAAUAUUGGACAAUGGGCGCAAGCCUGAUCCAGCCAUACCGCGUGGGUGAAGAAGGCCUUCGGGUUGUAAAGCCCUUUUGUUGGGAAAGAAAAGCAGCAGGUUAAUACCCCGCUGUUCUGACGGUACCCAAAGAAUAAGCACCGGCUAACUUCGUG
RNAcentral lists this ribosomal RNA (492 nucleotides) under uncultured bacterium. Its description in RNAcentral is "partial 16S ribosomal RNA". It matches the Rfam family "Bacterial small subunit ribosomal RNA", at positions 29 to 507 of the family's 1533-position model. The record is from RNAcentral.